This is a long non-coding RNA of Myxocyprinus asiaticus (Chinese sucker), 3076 nucleotides long. RefSeq lists it as uncharacterized. The record is from RefSeq and is a predicted model, not a curated record. The transcript has 2 exons. Lineage: Eukaryota; Metazoa; Chordata; Actinopteri; Cypriniformes; Catostomidae.
UCUGAGGUAAAGUUAAUUCUUAAAUGAGACAUAACUGAGAACUCCAUUUAGUCUCUUGAGCAAUAAAAGAGCAGCCUCUGUGCAAUAUGUUUUUAUUUCUCCAAAGGAAUUUUAGCAGAAAUAUCUCAGAUUAAGUUGAUACCUAAAUGAGACAUAACUGAGAACUCCAUUAAUUCUCUUGAGCAUUAAAAGAGCAAACUUUGAGCUAUAAUAUUUGUAUUUCUCCAAAGGAAUUUUAGCAGAAAUAUCUGAGAUAAAGUUGAUUCUUAAAUGAGACAAAACUGAGAACUCCAUUAAGUUUUUUGAGCAAUAAAAGAGCAACCUCUGAGCAAUAUAUUUUAUUUAUCUGAAGGAAUUUUAGCAGAAAUAUCAGAGACAAAGUUGAUAUAUAAAUGAGACAUAGUUGAGAGCUCCAUUAAGUGUCUUAAGCAAUAAAAGAGCAACCUCUGAGCAAUAACAUUUGUAUUCCUCCAAAAGAAUUUUAGCAGAAAUAUCUGAGGUAAAGUUAAUUCUUAAAUGAGACAUAACUGAGAACUCCAUUUAGUCUCUUGAGCUAUAAAAGAGCAGCCUCUGUGCAAUAUGUUUUUAUUUCUCCAAAGGAAUUUUAGCAGAAAUAUCUCAGAUUAAGUUGAUACCUAAAUGAGACAUAACUGAGAACUCCAUUAAUUCUCUUGAGCAUUAAAAGAGCAAACUUUGAGCUAUAAUAUUUGUAUUUCUCCAAAGGAAUUUUAGCAGAAAUAUCUGAGAUAAAGUUGAUACUUAAAUGAGACAAAACUGAGAACACCAUUAAGUCCCCUGAGCUAUUAAAGAGCAACCUUUGAGCAAUAGUAUUUUUAAUUCUCUGAAGGAAUUUUAGCAGAAAUAUCUGAGGUAAAGUUAAUUCUUAAAUGAGACAUAACUGAGAACUCCAUUUAGUCUCUUGAGCAAUAAAAGAGCAGCCUCUGUGCAAUAUGUUUUUAUUUCUCCAAAGGAAUUUUAGCAGAAAUAUCUCAGAUUAAGUUGAUACCUAAAUGAGACAUAACUGAGAACUCCAUUAAUUCUCUUGAGCAUUAAAAGAGCAAACUUUGAGCUAUAAUAUUUGUAUUUCUCCAAAGGAAUUUUAGCAGAAAUAUCUGAGAUAAAGUUGAUUCUUAAAUGAGACAAAACUGAGAACUCCAUUAAGUUUUUUGAGCAAUAAAAGAGCAACCUCUGAGCAAUAUAUUUUAUUUAUCUGAAGGAAUUUUAGCAGAAAUAUCAGAGACAAAGUUGAUAUAUAAAUGAGACAUAGUUGAGAGCUCCAUUAAGUGUCUUAAGCAAUAAAAGAGCAACCUCUGAGCAAUAACAUUUGUAUUCCUCCAAAAGAAUUUUAGCAGAAAUAUCUGAGGUAAAGUUAAUUCUUAAAUGAGACAUAACUGAGAACUCCAUUUAGUCUCUUGAGCUAUAAAAGAGCAGCCUCUGUGCAAUAUGUUUUUAUUUCUCCAAAGGAAUUUUAGCAGAAAUAUCUCAGAUUAAGUUGAUACCUAAAUGAGACAUAACUGAGAACUCCAUUAAUUCUCUUGAGCAUUAAAAGAGCAAACUUUGAGCUAUAAUAUUUGUAUUUCUCCAAAGGAAUUUUAGCAGAAAUAUCUGAGAUAAAGUUGAUACUUAAAUGAGACAAAACUGAGAACACCAUUAAGUCCCCUGAGCUAUUAAAGAGCAACCUUUGAGCAAUAGUAUUUUUAAUUCUCUGAAGGAAUUUUAGCAGAAAUAUCUGAGGUAAAGUUAAUUCUUAAAUGAGACAUAACUGAGAACUCCAUUUAGUCUCUUGAGCAAUAAAAGAGCAGCCUCUGUGCAAUAUGUUUUUAUUUCUCCAAAGGAAUUUUAGCAGAAAUAUCUCAGAUAAAGUUGAUUCUUAAAUGAGACAAAACUGAGAACUCCAUUAAGUUUUUUGAGCAAUAAAAGAGCAACCUCUGAGCAAUAUAUUUUAUUUAUCUGAAGGAAUUUUAGCAGAAAUAUCAGAGACAAAGUUGAUAUAUAAAUGAGACAUAGUUGAGAGCUCCAUUAAGUGUCUUAAGCAAUAAAAGAGCAACCUCUGAGCAAUAACAUUUGUAUUCCUCCAAAAGAAUUUUAGCAGAAAUAUCUGAGACAAAGUUGAGACAUAAAUGAGACAAAACUUAGAAUUGCAUUAAGUCUCUUGAGCUAUAAAAGAGCAACCUUUGAGCUAUAAUAUUUGUAUUUCUCUGAAGGAAUUGUAGCAGAAAUAUCUAAGAAAAGUUGAUACAUAAAUGAGACAGAACUAAGAUCUCAUUUAAGUCCCUGGAGCUACAGCAUGAAAGAGCAACCUUUGAGCAGUAAUAUUUGUAUUUAUUCUAGUGAAUUUUGGAGAAAUGUUUGAGACAAGGUUGAUACAUUUAGACCUCCAUUAAAGCUCUUGAGGUCUGAGAGAGCCUUUGAGCACUAAACAUGUCCUCUGGGAAGUUCCAGCCCUACUACUGUCUCUCACAACUUGUAGUGAAUGUGAUUUUCAGAGAGACUGAAAGCAGACUGUUGUAUGAACAGCUGCACAGACCACACACAAUGCCAGCCGGGUGCAAUGUCAGUGGGUUAAUUUAUAUUUGUACUGUUUACUGUGUGCGGUCUUAUCAAUGGGUUUAUCACUGAAUUUGUUAGAGGGUUUUUUUGCUCAGUUUGACCCCCUGCAGGUUAAAGAUAUUGUGUUAUGUCACUGGCUGCCAGCACCUGCCAAAUUAUUUUCAUUUUUCAUUCUGCUACACAGUAGAUAAUGCAUCAAACAUUUUGAAAGUCUUGUGCAGUUGUUGAUUUUAUUUAAUGCUAUUUUAUUUGAAUUAUUUUUAAUUGCAAGGUUAUGAUUAAAGAAAUGUUAUUGGGAGAAAAUACUUGAAAAAAUAAUUCACGGUACUUUAUAUUGUUUCAUUCACCUUUGUUUAAUCACACAUUUUGUUCACAAGUCAUGUCAAGCCAGUUUGAGCAUCAAUGUUAAAAGUGGAAAAAAUUAAAAAUGAACAGAUCUUGCAUUCAUUUUGAGUUUAAUUGUUCAUGUGCACUAAAUGCAGUGCAAAGCAAUAAAUUACACGACUGAUAUUGUAUUCAAGUAUAA